AUAUUACAUCUGGGGUGCCUUUUGGCUGAGAUAUACCCAUAGAACCUGCUCUGGUUAGUACCAGCGAAGGGAGAUAGAAAUAGACAUUA
RNAcentral lists this non-coding RNA (89 nucleotides) under Paucilactobacillus suebicus. Its description in RNAcentral is "Lactobacillus suebicus TPP sequence". It matches the Rfam family "TPP riboswitch aptamer (THI element)". Rfam says of the family: Vitamin B(1) in its active form thiamin pyrophosphate (TPP) is an essential coenzyme that is synthesised by coupling of pyrimidine and thiazole moieties in bacteria. Lineage: Bacteria; Bacillati; Bacillota; Bacilli; Lactobacillales; Lactobacillaceae. The record is from RNAcentral.